RNAcentral lists this microRNA (21 nucleotides) under Marchantia polymorpha subsp. ruderalis. Lineage: Eukaryota; Viridiplantae; Streptophyta; Marchantiopsida; Marchantiales; Marchantiaceae. The record is from RNAcentral.
GUGCUUGACUGCAAGAUGGGC